CAGUAGCCACGGUAAUACGGAGGGGGCUAGCGUUGUUCGGAAUUACUGGGCGUAAAGCGCACGUAGGCGGCUUGGUAAGUUAGAGGUGAAAGCCUGGAGCUCAACUCCAGAAUUGCCUUUAAGACUGCCGAGCUAGCAGGUGAGAGAGGUAAGUGGAAUUCCGAGUGUAGAGGUGAAAUUCGUAGAUAUUCGGAAGAACACCAGUGGCGGAGGCGGCUUACUGGCUCAUACUGGACGCUGAGGUGCGAAAGCGUGGGGAGCAAACAGGAUUAGAUACCCGAGUAGUCCCUGUCUCUUAUAC
This 301-nucleotide ribosomal RNA is filed under the name uncultured bacterium. RNAcentral's name for it is "partial 16S ribosomal RNA". It matches the Rfam family "Bacterial small subunit ribosomal RNA", at positions 509 to 807 of the family's 1533-position model. The record is from RNAcentral.